UGAGGAAUAUUGGGCAAUGGGCGAAAGCCUGACCCAGCAACGCCGCGUGGAGGAUGAAUGUCGUAAGAUUGUAAACUCCUGUUAGAGGGGAAGAAUAAUCCCGAUCGACUCGGGACUUGACUGUACCCUCAGAGAAAGCUCCGGCUAACUACGUGCCAGCAGCCGCGGUAAUACGUAGGGAGCGAGCGUUGUCCGGAUUUACUGGGUGUAAAGGGCGCGCAGGCGGGUUGGUAAGUCAGAGGUGAAAUCCUACAGCUUAACUGUAGAACUGCCCUUGAUACUGCUAAUCUUGAGUAUGGAAGAGAGAGACGGAAUUCCAGGUGUAGUGGUGAAAUACGUAGAUAUCUGGAAGAACACCAGUUGCGAAGGCGGUCUCUUGGUCCAAUACUGACGCUGAGGCGCGAAAGCGUGGGUAGCAAACAGGAUUAGAUACCCUGGUAGUCCACGCUGUAAACGAUGAAUACUAGGUGCUGGGUCUUUAGAUUCAGUGCCGCAGCUAACGCAUUAAGUAUUCCACCUGGGGAGUACGAUCGCAAGGUUGAAACUCAAA
RNAcentral lists this ribosomal RNA (550 nucleotides) under uncultured bacterium. RNAcentral's name for it is "bacterial SSU rRNA". It matches the Rfam family "Bacterial small subunit ribosomal RNA", at positions 355 to 905 of the family's 1533-position model. The record is from RNAcentral.